Sesamum indicum (sesame) is the source of this 939-nucleotide long non-coding RNA. RefSeq lists it as uncharacterized. NCBI's taxonomy places the organism in Eukaryota, Viridiplantae, Streptophyta, Magnoliopsida, Lamiales, Pedaliaceae. The record is from RefSeq and is a predicted model, not a curated record.
GAUAUCUUGGUUUAGUUCUAACCAAAUCUCCUACAAUAUAACAAGCACAAAAACUGAUGUAUGAAAAACAUUACGAGCACGAAAAUUAAAGGGAGCUGCCAAUGACUUCCCGUGCUCGAUAGGGUUUCUUCCAUUUCUGCUCUUCUUUGGCUAUUCUUUUCGAAUGACUGGUCCUAUAACGACGUCGUCGGGUGCAAAUUCGGCAAGCAGGGAUAUGGGAGUCUGGAGGGUUUUUCUUUCUCAUUUUAUAUUGAGAGUCGCAUUUCAACAAAGAAGCUACUACAGAAAGUCGCACUUUAUCGUUACAUAUAAAAGGGUUGGAUCGAGUUUUUAAAAAAAGAUCCGUUGAUUGGAUGCCCCACCCGGUUCUUUUUUUUUCUUGUAUUGCUCUUUUUCUCAUGUUUUUUUGUGGAGUUAACCCAUUCUUUUUCCCUUUCAUGUCUUCUUUUUGGUUUUUCUGUUCUUGUUUCUUGAAAUCUUCGAGAGGGUUGGGUCGAGUUUAAAAAAAAUGAUCCGUUGCAUGCGCAACCCUUGCGGUUUUCAGCACUUCUUUUCUUUUAAGUUGUGCGUGAAGAUUCCACCCUCACUUCUUGGAGUUUAGAGAGAUUGUUGUAGUGCUCAUUUUGGUUGGAUCUUCAAGCAUUCUGGAGGCAGCCAUUAAAUUGAAGUUGAAGAUGCCUCAACACAAGAGAAGAAUUUUUUAUCCUGUGAGACAUUUGCAGCUGUCUAAUGUAAAGAUACUUGGUUGUAAAUUAGAAUACUUUGUGCAAGGGAGCUUUGUAUACUUUGUUGUAAAUUAUCCAAAGAAAUGAAAAUUUUCUUCAAAGAGAAACAAGUACCGACUCUUUGCUAUGAAGAACAUAAUUAUUGAAACAACACUAUUGAACAAGAACAAUCAAUUAUAGCACUUAUGUAUUAGCAAAUUAAUGUUAUUAUAGC